UGACUGAGCGGCGGACGGGUGAGUAACGCGUGGGCAACCUGCCUUACACAGGGGGGAUAACAGUUAGAAAUGACUGCUAAUACCGCAUAAGACCACAGGACUGCAUGGUCCGGUGGUAAAAACUCCGGUGGUGUAAGAUGGGCCCGCGUCUGAUUAGGUAGUUGGCGGGGUAACGGCCCACCAAGCCGACGAUCAGUAGCCGACCUGAGAGGGUGACCGGCCACAUUGGGACUGAGACACGGCCCAGACUCCUACGGGAGGCAGCAG
RNAcentral lists this ribosomal RNA (267 nucleotides) under uncultured bacterium. Its description in RNAcentral is "partial 16S ribosomal RNA". It matches the Rfam family "Bacterial small subunit ribosomal RNA", at positions 88 to 354 of the family's 1533-position model. The record is from RNAcentral.